GACGAACGCUGGCGGCGUGCUUAACACAUGCAAGUCGAACGGAAAGGCCCUGCUUGCAUGGUACUCGAGUGGCGAACGGGUGAGUAACACGUGGGUGAUCUGCCCUGCACUUCUGGGUAAGCCUUGGAAACUGGGUCGAAUACCGGAGAGGAGCCAUUUUUAGGGUGAGUGUUGGAAAGUUUUUUCGGUGUAGGAUGAGCUCGCGGGCUAUCAGCUUGUUGGUGGGGUAAUGGCCUACCAAGGCGGCGACGGGUAGCCGGCCUGGGAGGGUGGACGGCCACAUUGGGACUGAGAUACGGCCCAGACUCCUAAGGGAGGCAGCAGUGGGGAAUAUUGCACAAUGGGCGCAAGCCUGAUGCAGCGAAGCCGCGUGGGGGAUGACGGCCUUCGGGUUGUAAAACCGUUUCGCUAGGGAAGAAGCUUUUUGUGACGGUAACUAGAAAAGAAGCACCGGCUAACUACGUG
RNAcentral lists this ribosomal RNA (465 nucleotides) under uncultured bacterium. RNAcentral describes it as "partial 16S ribosomal RNA". It matches the Rfam family "Bacterial small subunit ribosomal RNA", at positions 28 to 507 of the family's 1533-position model. The record is from RNAcentral.